Molecule: long non-coding RNA, 259 nt
Filed under: Pan troglodytes (chimpanzee)
Lineage: Eukaryota; Metazoa; Chordata; Mammalia; Primates; Hominidae
Description: long non-coding RNA NONPTRT007825
Source: RNAcentral
GGACUGAGAGGAAGAGGGAGCCUGUAGUGUUUAAGAAUGGACAAAUGAGAACAGUACAUGGUGACGGCCCUUUUAUGUCCUAGGUAACCUUCCUCAACGACUCUAAUCAUUGAUGAUACAUCUAUUAUUCUCCUUCUCAUGUAUGGAGAUAUUUUAAAAUAUAAGUUGAACUAGUAUUUACUUUUUUCUCUAUGGCCUGAGCAGUGAUUAUUAGAUGAUACAAAAAUCCCUCUGUAAUUGUUAGGUACUGAACUCCCAU